RNAcentral lists this long non-coding RNA (491 nucleotides) under Fukomys damarensis (Damara mole-rat). RNAcentral's name for it is "lncRNA (ENSFDAG00000024732.1)". Lineage: Eukaryota; Metazoa; Chordata; Mammalia; Rodentia; Bathyergidae. The record is from RNAcentral.
GUCGUGUCAUCUCCUGUGGCCUCUUCCUCUGUGUGAGGCGUGUCUGUGCAGUGCUUGUGGAGACAGCCGCUGUGUCUGCAGGUGGCACAGCAGUGGGACGUGUGAGCCGUUUGGGAGGUGUGGUGUGGGCAGCAGAGGGUGCUGUGCGCUCCUGUGCAUCACUCUGCAUCGCCACUGAGCCCCUGCUGUGUGACGUGGGCAUCCCCACGCACUGUCGAUCCUGGCUCCAGGACUGGAGUCGUUCUCUGGCAUCCACACUACCGUGAGGGCUGAACUGCGUGUCUUUGAGAACAACCUGAGGGCUCGAUCGCAGUGCAGCUUGAGGGACCUGGAUUACUGUGGCCCUUCCGUCAACCCCAUGGGGCGUGGUUGCAGACAAGUACCGCACUCCUCCUCCUCCAGGACUGCAAGGCCCACCCUGUGCUGCCCACAUGAAGGAGAGGACCCAGGUACACAUGGCAAAACCGUGAAGUUACUUCAGACACAUGUGG